AGGGGUAGAGAUAUUGGGCCUAAGCAUCCGUAGCCGGUUCUGUAAGUUUCCGGUUAAAUCCAUUAGCUCAACUAAUGGGCUGCCGGAAAUACUGCAUAACUAGGGAGUGGGAGAGGUAGACGGUAUUCGGGGGGAAGGGGUAAAAUCCUUUGAUCUCUUGAUGACCACCUGUGGCGAAGGCGGUCUACCAGAACACGUUCGACGGUGAGGGAUGAAAGCUGGGGGAGCAAACCGGAUUAGAUACCCGGGUAGUCCCAGCUGUAAACUAUGCAAACUCAGUGAUGCAUUGGCUUGUGGCCAAUGCAGUGCUGCAGGGAAGCCGUUAAGUUUGCCGCCUGGGAAGUACGUACGCAAGAAUGAAACUUAAAGGAAUUGGCGGGGGAGCAC
This 387-nucleotide ribosomal RNA is filed under the name uncultured archaeon. RNAcentral's name for it is "bacterial SSU rRNA". It matches the Rfam family "Archaeal small subunit ribosomal RNA", at positions 491 to 879 of the family's 1478-position model. The record is from RNAcentral.